Molecule: non-coding RNA, 45 nt
Filed under: Schistosoma mattheei
Lineage: Eukaryota; Metazoa; Platyhelminthes; Trematoda; Strigeidida; Schistosomatidae
Source: RNAcentral
AUCUAGCUGAAGGGUCCUAAAAAGGACGGAACACGUGUUCUGCAU